Long non-coding RNA from Nothoprocta perdicaria, 217 nucleotides. RefSeq lists it as uncharacterized. The transcript has 3 exons. The record is from RefSeq and is a predicted model, not a curated record. NCBI's taxonomy places the organism in Eukaryota, Metazoa, Chordata, Aves, Tinamiformes, Tinamidae.
GAGGAAGAGGGAGGAGAGAACUGGAGAAAGCAAGCGGGCGCAGCGUGGCGCCCAGCACUACGUUCACCGUGCAAGACAAGCAGGAGUCUGCACAGUUUAGUCCAGGGUGCACGUCUUUAUGUAAACCUAUUGAAAGCUGCCUUUACUCUUCUGCAAAGCUGGAUGGAUGAUUAAUCAGGUUAAUAAUAGAUCUUGCCAGCCUCUUGCCAGAUCCCUG